This 299-nucleotide long non-coding RNA is filed under the name Pan troglodytes (chimpanzee). Its description in RNAcentral is "long non-coding RNA NONPTRT007590". The record is from RNAcentral. Lineage: Eukaryota; Metazoa; Chordata; Mammalia; Primates; Hominidae.
GAGAUAGGAAGAGGGCAUAACGUUAAACCAGCUUCUCAAGUCACUGGGAAGAUGGGAAGUGAAAGGAUGUGGAAAGAAGAAAGGAGAGGAAAUUAUGUAAAUGUGUUGCAUUCCUUCCUCUGGAAGCUUCAUCCUAGAGGGGCACCUACUAGAUGCCAGCCAGAGCUCUCUUAUAUGAGGUGUCUGUCAGCCCCUACUGGGAGGUGUCUCCCAGUCAGGAUACUCGGGGGUCAGGGACCCACUUGAGGAGGCAGUCUGUCCCUUAUCAGAUCUCUAAUGCUGUGCCGGGAGGUCCACUG